Molecule: ribosomal RNA, 1214 nt
Filed under: Kocuria sp.
Lineage: Bacteria; Bacillati; Actinomycetota; Actinomycetes; Micrococcales; Micrococcaceae
Description: bacterial SSU rRNA
Rfam family: Bacterial small subunit ribosomal RNA
Source: RNAcentral
UGCAGUCGAACGAUGAUCUCCCGCUUGCGGGGGUGAUUAGUGGCGAACGGGUGAGUAAUACGUGAGUAACCUGCCCUUGACUCUGGGAUAAGCCUGGGAAACCGGGUCUAAUACUGGAUACUACUCCUCAUCGCAUGGUGGGGGGUGGAAAGGGUUUUACUGGUUUUGGAUGGGCUCACGGCCUAUCAGCUUGUUGGUGGGGUAAUGGCUCACCAAGGCGACGACGGGGAGCCGGCCUGAGAGGGUGACCGGCCACACUGGGACUGAGACACGGCCCAGACUCCUACGGGAGGCAGCAGUGGGGAAUAUUGCACAAUGGGCGGAAGCCUGAUGCAGCGACGCCGCGUGAGGGAUGACGGCCUUCGGGUUGUAAACCUCUUUCAGCAGGGAAGAAGCCACAAGUGACGGUACCUGCAGAAGAAGCGCCGGCUAACUACGUGCCAGCAGCCGCGGUAAUACGUAGGGCGCAAGCGUUGUCCGGAAUUAUUGGGCGUAAAGAGCUCGUAGGCGGUUUGUCGCGUCUGCUGUGAAAGCCCGGGGCUCAACCCCGGGUCUGCAGUGGGUACGGGCAGACUAGAGUGCAGUAGGGGAGACUGGAAUUCCUGGUGUAGCGGUGAAAUGCGCAGAUAUCAGGAGGAAGACCGAUGGCGAAGGCAGGUCUCUGGGCUGUUACUGACGCUGAGGAGCGAAAGCAUGGGGAGCGAACAGGAUUAGAUACCCUGGUAGUCCAUGCCGUAAACGUUGGGCACUAGGUGUGGGGGACAUUCCACGUUCUCCGCGCCGUAGCUAACGCAUUAAGUGCCCCGCCUGGGGAGUACGGCCGCAAGGCUAAAACUCAAAGGAAUUGACGGGGGCCCGCACAAGCGGCGGAGCAUGCGGAUUAAUUCGAUGCAACGCGAAGAACCUUACCAAGGCUUGACAUUCACCGGACCGCACUGGAGACAGUGCUUCCCUUCGGGGUCGGUGGACAGGUGGUGCAUGGUUGUCGUCAGCUCGUGUCGUGAGAUGUUGGGUUAAGUCCCGCAACGAGCGCAACCCUCGUUCUAUGUUGCCAGCACGUGAUGGUGGGGACUCAUAGGAGACUGCCGGGGUCAACUCGGAGGAAGGUGGGGAUGACGUCAAAUCAUCAUGCCCCUUAUGUCUUGGGCUUCACGCAUGCUACAAUGGCCGGUACAAAGGGUUGCGAUACUGUGAGGUGGAGCUAAUCCCAAAAA